CGUGAUUGUAGCUGCGCGUACAUUUGUUUUUAAACCUUUUUAUUGAUUGGUGUAUUGUUCUAAAUUUAUUAUGUUUGCUAUGCAUGUUUGUUUGGAUGCUUGUGUGGUAUGAUCCUGUCUAGUCGGCGAGUUUUAUGUGGUGAUCAAGAAGGACCGAAGUUGGUAAUAAUGAGCAAGAAAUUAAUUUCAGAUUUGGAGUAGCAGAUUCAGCAAGGACAGCAGGAAAGCUUUUAUCAAGGCAAGC
RNAcentral lists this long non-coding RNA (244 nucleotides) under Sorghum bicolor (sorghum). RNAcentral's name for it is "long non-coding RNA (SBIC_LNC017694)". Lineage: Eukaryota; Viridiplantae; Streptophyta; Magnoliopsida; Poales; Poaceae. The record is from RNAcentral.